GGUUUGAUCCUGGCUCAGAUUGAACGCUGGCGGGAUGCUUUACACAUGGCAUGCAAGUCGAACGGCAGCACGGACUUCGGUCUGGUGGCGAGUGGCGAACGGGUGAGUAAUGUAUCGGAACGUGCCUAGUAGCGGGGGAUAACUACGCGAAAGCGUAGCUAAUACCGCAUACGCCCUUCGGGGAAAGCGGGGGACCUUCGGGCCUCGUCACUAUUAGAGCAGCCGAUAUCGGAUUAGCUAGUUGGUGGGGUAACGGCUCACCAAGGCGACGAUCCGUAGCUGGUUGAGAGGACGACCAGCCACACUGCAGGACUGAGACACGGCCCAGACUCCUACGGGAAGGCAGCAGUGGGGAAUUUUGGACAAUGGGGAAACCCUGAUCCAGCCAUCCCGCGUGUGCGAUGAAGGCCUUCCGGGUUGUAAAGCACUUUUUGGCAGGAAAGAAACGGCACAGGAUAAUACCCCGUGCAACUGACGGUACCUGCAGAAUAAGCACCGGCUAACUACGUGCUAGCGGCCGCGGUAAUACGUAGGGUGCAAGCGUUAAUCGGAAUUACUGGGCGUAAAGCGUGCGCAGGCGGUUCGGAAAGAAGAUACGGGCUCCAGAGCUUAACUUUGGAACUGCAUUUUAACUACCGAGCUAGAGUGUGUCAGAGGGAGGUGGGUGCGUGUAGCAGUGAAAUGCGUAGAUAUGCGGAGGAACACCGACCGAAGGCAGCCUCCUGGGAUAACUGACGCUCAUGCACGAAAGCGUGGGAGCAAACAGGAUUAGAUACCUGGUAGUCCACGCCUAAACGAUGUCAACUAGCUGUUGGGGCCUUCGGGCCUUGGCGCAGCUAACGCGUGAAGUUGACCGCCUGGGGAGAGUACGGUCGCAAGAUUAAAACUCAAAGGAAUUGACGGGGACCCGCACAAGCGGUGGAUGAUGUGGAUUAAUUCGAUGCAACGCGAAAAACCUUACCUACCCUUGACAUGUCUGGAAUCGAAGGAGAUUUGGGAGUGCUCGCAAGAGAACCGGAACCUGGGUACUGCAUGGCUGUCGUCAGCUCGUGUCGUGAGAUGUUGGGUUAAGUCCCGCAACGAGCGCAACCCUUGUCAUUAGUUGCUACGAAGGGCACUCUAAUGAGACUGCCGGUGACAAACCGGAGGAAGGUGGGGAUGACGUCAAGUCCUCAUGGCCCUUAUGGGUAGGGCUUCACACGUCAUACAAUGGUCGGGACAGAGGGUCGCCAACCCGCGAGGGGAGCCAAUCCCAGAAACCCGAUCGUAGUCCGGAUCGCAGUCUGCAACUCGACUGCGUGAAGUCGGAAUCGCUAGUAAUCGCGGAUCAGCAUGUCGCGGUGAAUACGUUCCCGGGUCUUGUACACACCGCCCGUCACACCAUGGGAAUUGGGUUUUACCGAAGUAGUUAGCCUAACCGUAAGGAGGCGAUUACCACGGUAGGAUUCAUGACAGGGUGAAGUCGUAACAAGGUAA
This 1476-nucleotide ribosomal RNA is filed under the name uncultured Bordetella sp. RNAcentral describes it as "partial 16S-23S ribosomal RNA intergenic spacer". It matches the Rfam family "Bacterial small subunit ribosomal RNA". Lineage: Bacteria; Pseudomonadati; Pseudomonadota; Betaproteobacteria; Burkholderiales; Alcaligenaceae. The record is from RNAcentral.